GACGAACGCUGGCGGCGUGCUUAACACAUGCAAGUCGAACGGAAAGGCCCUGCUUUUGUUGGUUUCUCGAUUGGCGAACGGGUGAGUAACACGUGAGUAACCUGCCCUUGACUUUGGGAUAACUUCACGAAACUGGGGCUCAUAUCGGGUAUGAGCUCCUGCUGCAUGUUGGGGGUUGGAAAGUUUCGGCGGUUGGGGAUGGACUCGCGGCUUAUCAGCUUGUUGGUGGGGUAGUGGCUUACCAAGGCUUUGACGGGUAGCCGGCCUGAGAGGGUGACCGGCCACAUUGGGACUGAGAUACGGCCCAGACUCCUACGGGAGGCAGCAGUGGGGAAUAUUGCACAAUGGGCGGAAGGCUGAUGCAGCAACGCCGCGUGCGGGAUGACGGCCUUCGGGUUGUAAACCGCUUUCGCAUGUGACGAAGCGUGAGUGACGGUAAUGGGUAAAGAAGCACCGGCUAACUACGUG
Molecule: ribosomal RNA, 468 nt
Filed under: uncultured bacterium
Lineage: Bacteria
Description: partial 16S ribosomal RNA
Rfam family: Bacterial small subunit ribosomal RNA
Source: RNAcentral